Hippoglossus stenolepis (Pacific halibut) is the source of this 2039-nucleotide long non-coding RNA. RefSeq lists it as uncharacterized. NCBI's taxonomy places the organism in Eukaryota, Metazoa, Chordata, Actinopteri, Pleuronectiformes, Pleuronectidae. The transcript has 2 exons. The record is from RefSeq and is a predicted model, not a curated record.
GGUGUGCGUGUCCCCGGUGGCGUGAUGGGGGGCAAAGAGAUGGACGUGUCCAGACGAGUGUGACUGCGCUCUGGAGACUGCGGCGUGCUGUCCAGCCUGGAUGCCAGGAGACCAUUCUGGUAGUGAGCACGAGUGAUCUGCAGACAGUGUCCCACCGUGUCCCAACGGUCUCCAUUAUACUGCUCAGAUAUGAGGACGGACCAGUGACUGAGAUGGACAAGAUGGCAGCUCCCUGAAGGAGGCCAAAAAACAUCAGGAUCACUCCCUGGUGGCUGCCUGUAGUAUUGGCCACAAACCUUCAUGUUUCUGAUAAAUUUAGUUUAAAUGAGUUGUUGGACACUUUAAAAACAGGGCGAGACGUCAGGAUUGACAAUGAGAUUGGCUCAUGACUGGUCUGACAAAUGCAUCGGCUGGACCUCGAUAUGCGUAUGCUCCACUCUCUGAUCACUACGGUGCUGAAUCUGGUGUCAAAUGACGUCAGCAGCGUGAGAUGGCAGUGCCAAGAUAUACUGGGUUCCCUUGUGUAUGGUGGGAGAAAGUGGAGACACAUCCACCAUCUUUAGAAACAUCAUUGGGAGGGAGCAAUUUUUUUAAAUAUGAGCCAAACCUUUCAGGUGGAAAACACCCAAUGGUUAAUUAGUUGGAUCAUGGAAAUGACUUUUCUUAUCUGCAUUUAAAUAUCUAAACAACCCUCCCAAGGGAAACAAACAGAUAUUGUAAGGACAACUUGUGAUAAUUCAUAAUGUUCUUUAAAAAUAACAGCAAAUAAUAAGCAGGAUCGUUUGAACGGAGAUGGUUAUUAAUGCAAAAAUAAACCACUCUUCUUCCUCUGACUGAUACCUAAUGAGACUGAGCUGGCAUCAGUCAAAAAGGGACUUACCUUGACGAACUGCAGGUCAGUGAGAGCACGCACGCAGAAGUCUGGGAUGUACUGGAAGGGCGUGCCUGGGAUCUGGGUGUUGCUCCCACCGACGGAGCCACUUUCCGGAGCGCGCUCAGUGCAGCUCAGUGACGCUGAGCGGUUGAGGUUGCCCCCGUGCGAUGGAGAUCGAAACUCUGGGGUUGACAGAGAAGGGAGUGAGCACGAGAGUGAAGAUUAAAAUAUAGAAAAACAUUUUUUAAAAAGGAAGUGGUGCGGUGGCCCUGCGAGCUCAACACACAGCAACUUAAGGAAAACAAACAAAUUCUGAAAACGUCAUCGAAUUGACAACACAUACUGAAAAAACAACACAACCAUUUGCAGACGGGCAACAAAAAGCACAGACAACAAUCAAGGUGUUUCCAAGAGACACAAAAAAUAUUUUAGUGAAUAGAUAAAGUCACAAAUUGAACAAAGGCAGAGCUUUCCUAUGAAUAUAGAAUAUUAAUAAUAUCGCACCAAUAGUAUUAAUAUUUAAAAUUGACCUAGAGAGCAAUUGUGAGGUAGUUCUCAAUGAAGGAGAGUGAAUGGAGCUAAACAGCUAAAAUAGUUUUUUACACCUGUUUCUUGACACAAAAAAAAAGCCACAUUUAACUUUGUCAAAUAAAGUAUUAAUACUAUACCAGAACUGAUAAUAAAAGAUACUAAUGUCCUUUCAUUUAUCUUACAGGCAGAGUGAUUUAGCUCAUAGCCUUCUGCUAAUGCAUGCCGAUUGGUCAGUUAGGGUUACGACUGAUUGCAACAGGUCACCUUCCUCGAUGGCACAUUACGAGUCUGAGGAAAUGAAUGAGGUGAAUAUCUGUUGUUUCUCCCUUUUGUAUUGAAAAAAUAAAGACAAUUGUGAAAAAUGUUGAAGUUAUGAAAGUGGAAGUUGAAAGAGCAUGUCCCAGUGAGCUUCAUCACAUUUCUAUGUCCCCUGGAAACACUUUGGUCAUCUGUGCACGUUUCUGUGUUUGGUUGUGUUAGUAUUUGCAGUGUGUUUCUGUAUUUUGUUGUGUUGUUAGUAUUUGCAGUGUGUUUCUGUGUUUGGUUGUGUUAGUAUUUGCUGUGUAUUUCUUUAUUUGGUUGUGUUGUGAGUAUGUUAAGCACAUGUGUUGUUAAAUUGAUGAAGUUUCCUGAA